Paramisgurnus dabryanus is the source of this 1036-nucleotide long non-coding RNA. RefSeq lists it as uncharacterized. The record is from RefSeq and is a predicted model, not a curated record. NCBI's taxonomy places the organism in Eukaryota, Metazoa, Chordata, Actinopteri, Cypriniformes, Cobitidae.
GCACCAAUUAUGCUAAUAAAUUAGCACGUUAGCACGUUAUUGUAAUAUCCCAUAGUACAUACAUGUUAUUAAAACUUGAACUAAUGCACUGUGAGUCUUAUAAAUUGCUUACAUACCUCACCAAUUUCUGCAUGUCUGGAAAACGCUCGGUUUAGUUCCUGUCUCCGCCUCCCAAAAUGUCUAGUGUAUUCGGAUUGGUCAGAUGACUACUCAACUGUUAUUGGUCAACUGGGUUCGGCGUGUGUUUGAAAGGUUACGCCCCUGACUACGCGUGGAUUUUCCGGUUCUGACUGAGAGUCACAGGCAACGUAAACAAGCGUUAUAUUUCUCUAUAAACGAUGGUGUCUGUACUGCCUUACCACUUCAAGCUCGAUCCAGAGAGUUCAGACUGCCGUUACGAUAUAAACGAUCUCCGUCAAUGAACGCGAUUGGAUUUAACUUUUUUAGGUGUCCUUAGCUCUGCCAGAAUGCUAAACGAAGACGAAAAUGUGUUGCAAAGACAUCCAAAAGGUUUUAAGGAGAAUGCAACAUGUUCCAGGGCCUCUUACCUGCGUGAUUCAUCAUCCAGGUUUUGCACAAAUUGUCUAAAUCCCUACACACAGAACAUUUAUUGUACCGACUAUAAGCCUUUGAGGUGCAGGACUAGAAUACGCUUGGAGCUUCCUGAUCAGAUCGGUCACAAUUUUGGCUUUCGACGACCCCUGCACUGAAGAUGGCAUGCAAUCACGUCCUCCUUUGAAGGUCUCUCAAACUGUGAUGCCAGGUCCAUUGGAAUCGGGGUUUCCUUCAGCUUAUCUUCAAAUACCUCAUCAAACACAAGCCUGAUCACAUCCUCCACAUAACUGUAGAAAUAUUGCAGUCAAUAAAUCUUUUGUUUUGAUCAUUUAUUUCCCUGCUUCAUACAUUAAGUUUUUAAUUAUGAAUGUAUUUGAAAUAAAACAUUACUGCUUACGGUAUGUCAUUUGUGUUUUGGGAACAUAGCCUUGUACUUUCCCUCUCCUGCUUUUGUUACGGCUUGGUGACAUUGUAAUGGAUG